This 274-nucleotide ribosomal RNA is filed under the name uncultured bacterium. Its description in RNAcentral is "partial 16S ribosomal RNA". The record is from RNAcentral.
CUGCUGCCUCCCGUAGGAGUCUGGUCCGUGUCUCAGUACCAGUGUGGGGGGCCUUCCUCUCAGAACCCCUACGCAUCGUCGGCACGGUGGGCCGUUACCCCGCCGUCUACCUAAUGCGACGCAUGUCCAUCCUAUGCCGGAUCUCUCCUUUAACCUCCCGGGAAUGCUCCCAAAAGGUGUUACGCGGUAUUAGGCCGGAUUUCUCCGGGUUAUCCCCCUGCAUAGGGCAGGUUACAUACGUGUUACUCACCCGUGCGACGGUCGCCGGCAGGCA